GUAGUUCUACAUCCUUAUAUAAACUUUUUCCUUGAUAGAUUCAUCAUCUAGGCCAAUGUGAUCAUGAAAAAUAUAAUUUUUUUGGUAGUUUUUGUACAUUGUCCAUGUGUUAUUUAUAGAAGAAACCCUUUAUAAAACGUCCAUUUUAAUUUGUGAGAAAACUUUUCCCUUAGAUAAAGUGAUUGUACACCAGUCCUGUGUAUAGUAUAUACUAAUUUUGCGUAGAGAACAAAAACCUAGAGUAUGUUCUAGACACAAACUGGC
RNAcentral lists this long non-coding RNA (264 nucleotides) under Amborella trichopoda. RNAcentral describes it as "long non-coding RNA (ATRI_LNC004544)". Lineage: Eukaryota; Viridiplantae; Streptophyta; Magnoliopsida; Amborellales; Amborellaceae. The record is from RNAcentral.